CGUGAGGGAAAGGCGAAAAGAACCCCGGCGAGGGGAGUGAAACAGAACCUGAAACCGUGUACGUACAAGCAGUGGGAGCCUUCGUAAGAGGGUGACUGCGUACCUUUUGUAUAAUGGGUCAGCGACUUAUAUUCUGUAGCAAGGUUAACCGUAUAGGGGAGCCGAAGGGAAACCGAGUCUUAACCGGGCGUUAAGUUGCAGGGUAUAGACCCGAAACCCGGUGAUCUAGCCAUG
This 234-nucleotide ribosomal RNA is filed under the name Ditylum brightwellii. Its description in RNAcentral is "partial Bacterial large subunit ribosomal RNA". It matches the Rfam family "Bacterial large subunit ribosomal RNA", at positions 502 to 738 of the family's 2925-position model. The record is from RNAcentral. Lineage: Eukaryota; Bacillariophyta; Thalassiosirophyceae; Lithodesmiales; Lithodesmiaceae.